Molecule: ribosomal RNA, 177 nt
Filed under: uncultured bacterium
Lineage: Bacteria
Description: partial 16S ribosomal RNA
Rfam family: Bacterial small subunit ribosomal RNA
Source: RNAcentral
AGCUGGAAUCGCUAGUAAUCGCGGAUCAGAAUGCCGCGGUGAAUACGUUCCCGGGUCUUGUACACACCGCCCGUCACACCAUGGGAGUCGGAAAUGCCCGAAGUCUGUGACCCAACCGUAAGGAGGGAGCAGCCGAAGGCAGGUCGGAUGACUGGGGUGAAGUCGUAACAAGGUACC